RNAcentral lists this ribosomal RNA (253 nucleotides) under uncultured bacterium. RNAcentral describes it as "partial 16S ribosomal RNA". It matches the Rfam family "Bacterial small subunit ribosomal RNA", at positions 524 to 776 of the family's 1533-position model. The record is from RNAcentral.
UACGGAGGGAGCUAGCGUUGUUCGGAAUUACUGGGCGUAAAGCGCACGUAGGCGGCUACUCAAGUCAGAGGUGAAAGCCCAGGGCUCAACCCUGGAACUGCCUUUGAAACUAGGUAGCUAGAAUCUUGGAGAGGUCAGUGGAAUUCCGAGUGUAGAGGUGAAAUUCGUAGAUAUUCGGAAGAACACCAGUGGCGAAGGCGGCGAUCUGGACGAUGACUGACGCUGAGACGCGAAAGCGUGGGGAGCAAACAGG